CAUUGGGUAUAUGAAUUAUUUUUUCUUUGUACAUAUCAUUAUUGUAACAUCGUAUAAAUAGAAAUUUUUCCUUAACCUAUUGCCAUUCUAAUUGAAGACAAUCAUAUACACAAGAGAAGAGAGGACAUGCCAUUUUAAGAGGAGGGUGGGAGACCAGGAAUAGAAUUUUAUAGCACAUAAAUUCCUUUCCCUUUCUCCUUAUUUGAUUGCAACUAGCAAUUGGAUGCC
RNAcentral lists this long non-coding RNA (228 nucleotides) under Elaeis guineensis (African oil palm). Its description in RNAcentral is "long non-coding RNA (EGUI_LNC020085)". Lineage: Eukaryota; Viridiplantae; Streptophyta; Magnoliopsida; Arecales; Arecaceae. The record is from RNAcentral.